AAGGCUGUUGUGUAACAAGCUGGACCUCGGCUUCACAGGUUGUACUGACAUUAGUCACUAGAUGACUAGUGGCAGCCGAACAUCUGGCGACGAGCAGCUGCUAGCUCCUCCGCGUGGUAGAUGACCUUUAGCCUUAAAGCCAAAACACUCUCACUUCAGUCAUUCGAUUUUUCCUAAUUAUCAGUUGCUAAAAAAAGGAGGCGUGCACACAGAGAGUUCAGACGGUCCAAAUGUCGAUCUGGCAGGUUUGGACGCUUCUUUAUUUAAAAUUGGGUAACUUGAUUACUGAUUGGGUAAAUGAUAGAUAAGCUGGCAGGAGCCAUUUGCCACGUUUUCACAUUGUGUAACAUCAUCACUUUUAAAAAGCAGAUUUCUCAAUUUCUCAGUGAGUUUGGGAUGAACGUUCCUCUCUGUAUGCAAUCGGGCUGACUGUGUCCAAAUGAACAGAAGCACAUUCACCACCGCUGCCUUGUGCCGUGGCCUUUUAACAUCUGCUGCAGACUGAGCGACCUUUGCACCGCGUGGAGACGAGCUGCUCGACUCCCACACGCCGUUCCCAACGACAUGGAAGGAAAUCACAAUAGGAGGCGACAUGUGGAUGUGUGGACCAGGAAGUGGAAUAAUAUUUGUAUUAAUGUUCAGAAAUAAGGUGUUUAUUUAGUUUACGUCUGGACAUCUUCAGUGUCUUUGAAUCAAUUUCUGUCUUAACCCCAGUUUCUCGAACUCCGUCAUCUUUCCAUAAGCACAAACCGUGGCUGGAACCCUGACAAAAAAAUCCCCAUACUUGCCUGAAAUAGGAAAUUAGGUCUAUUACAACUGCCUCAGUGGCUACACACAGAAAAAUAUCUCUUGCCUUGGAGAUAAAAAAAACUAGGCCAAGACAGUUUUUCAUUUGCUUCUGAACGGGGGGAAAAAUACACGCCUCAAUAUUUUAUUUGUGCAGCGUUGGUUUCUCUGACUCUCCAUGAAGAAACAGACACGCGUGCACGCCUGCACCAUCUCUCACACGGUGCCUGGGAGAGACAGGGGGCGGAGGUGUCGAGACCAAACGAGAUAUGAGGAAAUGAAAGGUGGAGGUUAACGUAAUCAGAUUUAGGCCCACCAGCUGCCUGUGCUCACGCCACACGUGUUCAAAAUUACAUUUGUGAUCAAUCUGCACUCGACUUCACACGCACCGCCCCGUAACUAAACCCACCGGAGCCUCGGCGUUAACCUGAUUUCAUCCAGACGGCACAUUAACGCGGUGCAUCUCCACCUUCGCCUGGUGAAGGACGCGCGCCUUAAGAACCUGAGAGGUUUUACAUACAUUAGAGCUGAAAGCAGCGGAGACGUGAUCCUGGGAGAACAGCACGUCACUCAAGUGUAUUGUCUGUGAAUGGAUGUGUGGUGUCUUUCUCCACUACUCAAUACCCUGUGGAUUUUCUCCGCAUUCGUCUGCUAAAGAUAUGACUGGCUGCCAGGAAGGAGGCUCUUUGGAGGGGGAUGGGAAGCAGCUUUUGAGAAGCGUGUUGCACUGAAAACACAUUUCUGGGGCUUCUACAGCUUCUAGCUGCCAGCGUUGAAUUUACGUUUGUAUUUAUUCACUUAUGUGUCUUUGAUUAUGGAAAGUCAGCCAGUGAGCGCAUGGAAAUCCAUCAGUGGUUUUCCGGGUGCUUUGGGAAUAUCAAAGUCAUAUUGUGCGUCCAUGAGUCCAAAUCUGUUCCUGGAAGUCGUUGUUUUGGCCAAGCAGCGAUUCACUUCCAUGAACUGUGAUUUGGACCUGGUUCUGGUUGUCGUUUCGCUGCCAGGAGCAGCUGCCAUUUCUUCAUAAAACCUUCCUGCUAACCAUAUGAAUCCAAAAGCCUGACGGUGUUUUCUUUUUUUUUUUGUUGCCCUGAGGUUGACGCAAAGCACAAAAUUCAACACGUUUUUACCAAAUAGAAAAAAAAAGUUAAUUACACAGAUUGCUCCAUUAAAGAGGCCGAGCGGUUAGAUGGAGGAGGCAGAGAGGAGGGAGACAUCACCCAUUACCUCUCCACCAUUACUCUCAGUGACUGUGGAGCUGAUGAAUGAAGGGGGCAUGAGAGCGGUUUCAUUAUAGGCAGCGGUAAUGGUGAUGCCAGCUGGAUAAGAAGAGAGAGGGAAGAUAAAAAGCUGUGUGGAAACAACAACCAGGAGCUUUUGCUUCAGCUUCAAUAGUCUUUAAACCUUAUAUAAAGCACCGUGCGCAUAAAGCUGCUGGAUUUGUUUUUCCCCUGCGUCUCACAAUAACACGACCAUGAUCCACUUUCCAGUAAGUCGAGCAAGUUUCCCUAAGCAAAUAGGACAUUGUUGUUUUUGUAGUGGCAUUGUUUCCCAGUUCCCAUAAUCUCUGGGCACCCGCCCCACCUGUUAUAAGAGGAUGAGUGUCAGCCACCAUGAAGAAUAAUAAUGCUGCCUUUCACAAGGACAUCUGGGUAAAUCAUGAGCUUUCUUUUGAAUGGGUUUGUGGAGGAGAUGGGGGGUGAAUUACAAAAGGUGACUCCAACGCGUGCUCAUCAAAUCUCUCUACUCGUGGCUGGAGCCAAUAACAGUAUGUUAUGACAGGCCACUGCUCAUAUGGAGGCUUUCCAAGGAAUCUUGUGUGCUGAAAUGAUGGUUAGGCAGGACAGUGUUCAAUCUGCCAUCCUGUCGCCUGGUGCUUUUUAUCCCCUGCUUGAAAGUUGUUUAUCCAUAAUGAAAUGAGAAUUGAAAAAUUUGUAUAUCGAUAAUAGAGAUCAACACAUCCUAAAACAGCUGUUUUGGUGAUUCUGUAAACAUCCAAUCAAACUUUCUGUCACAUUCACUAGCAGCAAAGCUUCCCCAGGGACCCAAAGCUCGGGCACCAGGACCAAUUAGAGUGACGGACAGGAAGUAGGAGCAACAGGAAGUUCAGCAGUAUAACAAGGUUUCCACAGCAGAAAACUGAAGGACACAAAUGUGACGACUUGUUCCAAUCUGGGGAAAAAAAAGUUCUACUGCACACAAGAAAAGCAGAAGAAGAAGUAAGAAAUCACUCUGAAAACACAACUGUCAAAAAUCUGCAGAAAUGCUGCGAGCCGGGAUCUGAAGGAAGAAACAAUGAGCUCCCGCUGUGGAGCGGAGCCUGGCUUUUUACGGGGCCUGUAAUGAAGCGGCUCUGGCUCCCUCAGCCCGGAUAAACCCGGCUCGCUGGGCAACGGAGGCGUGAGGAGAGACUCCCAUCCUGUCGGCCGCCUUUAAGACCGCGGGGAGCCGUUCUCCUCAGAGCAGCACUCACCAAAACUGUAAACCGUGUCAACAUUUGCAAAGCACAAUUCAGCCGUUACUCCAUCAACAGAGGAGGAGCACCUCCAUUCUGAGAACCCGGGUCACGGGUCCUAGUUUACUGUGUAUUAAACUAUCAAAGUGGUAGAAAGAGUAGAGACAAACGAGAAGUGGGAGUUUAUACUGACAAAACAUUUGGAAAGCGUUCCCAUGAGGAGCAGCUCUCAUCCCUGUGCGUGUUCCACAUCCUCCGUGUCCAAGUGGGUUUUAUGGCUCGACAUAAUUAAAGAUUAUGUUCAUGGAGUUUAUCCUGGAAAAAAAAGGGAUUGGCCCCUUCUACUGUACACUCAGCAGUUUACAGUAGCAUGUGUUGUGUUGUGCGGCUGUCUAGUAAUGGAGACGUGUGGCAUUGUUGCCCAUACAACAUGUGUGUCUGCGUCCUCUUCUGGCCCGUGUCAUCCAUCUGUCUCCGGUGAACUCCGUAUGCCAUUAAGAGAGACUGCAGCCAUUAGUGUAACAGGAUCAGACCUGGAAGCCUCAGAGGCCGAACCCAGGCGGACAUGCGCCCCGGCAGCCGCCCCCCCGAAGCCCCCUCUGCAGCAGGAAUCCUGCGUGCACCCCCAAACGCUGCGUUCUGGGGAAGGCAAGACGCCUCCUCCGAGUGUUUUUCCUACCGCUCGCAGCCACAUCUCUUCCAGUAAGCUAUAAUUAUCACCAAACUGACGCAGAUUACUGGAGGAGGGAGCAGCAGCGGCGAGGGUUCGGGAACAAUGGCGGAGAAAAUGAUAGGCUUGAUAUUGAGGUCAUGUAAUAAAGGCGAAUAGAGGCUAAAUGAGUGGAUCCUCACAGACCCCCCAACCCUCGUGCCUGUCCCACGGAGACAGAGGAUGUCUGUCCUUAGUUGUUAUUAGCUUGUGUGGGUGGUAAUUAUAUUUGCCAUUGAAAAGCACUUGAAUGGUUUGAAAAGACAGUGCUCGGAAAGUGAGAGCCACGAUUGCCUGUCGCUGCUACGCUCCAAUAAUGAAAUUGCUGUCUUGUGUUCGCCUUUAGGGGCCAAGCAGGCGUGACCAAACGGGCCGCGGGCCACAUUUGGACAGCUCCGGGCCAAAUGGUGUUGUGUUUCCACACAGCUCGUGUAACAUGGGGGGGGGGGGGGGUUGGCCGUGAGGGGCAGAGAUGUUAUGAAAAAUGAUCUGAGAAGCAUUGUGUUGGUGCUGAAUGAAGGGCAUAUGGGGCUUUAGCGGCGGAUACACACACACACACUCACACACAAACUCACACACACAACCGUGUAUGACAAUAAAACCCAAACACAGACCAGCACAUGCUGAUUAAAAACAAACACGCUCUGUGGAGGCCGUGCCGAACGCUUGGAACCAGUCUGACGCAGCAACACCCCCAUCAUCUGUCCUAUCACCUCAUCAGUAGCGGUAUUUCUUCAUUUCCAUUGGUCACCUGAGGAGAGUGAUUGCAACACCUUCCAAAGGUUCAUCCACCUCCACUCCCUGCGUUACUAUGAGACGUCAACAUCUGAGUCAGAGCGACUAAAGGAGCCUUUUAUUAUGAAGCUUCACCUGGAACAUGUGUGCGCAGACACGCUCCUGCAGCCUCCCUGCGCUCCGUGCGUGUGAUUAGGUCCACACUUUCAAGUGCGGAGCCCGAGGUUAUUUUUACCCAGAUGCACCGGGGGCUGUUAAGUAACACAAGUCUCCCAGGAUCCACAGGUUCCGACGCUCCGCGAGGCGCAGCCGCCCGUUAAACCCCCACACCUGCAUCCUUUUUAUGCAGCCGAAAGCAGUCCAGCGUCGGUCGCGGGGGCGACCCUGUGAAAUACAGUCGCCUGCAGACGCUCACGCUCGGUUUGGGCCGGACCAGGAAAGCGGUGCUGGUGCCGUUAGUGAGGUGUUUGUCUGUCUGUGUCAGACCUGAGGUCUCUCCAGUCACAACAGCUAAAGGCUUUUUCCCGCAAGAUGUUCUGUAGUGACACCAGACGUCAUGUCAGGUCCAAAACCACAGGGCACCACCCUCAUCACAGCUCACAGUACGUGUAAGAACCAGUCAACAAGCGGAGAGGGCCCUGACGCCGUGCACGCCACAGAUUGAUGUGCUUGUAUUUAUGGGAAAAGGCUGCACUGAGUGUGAUUUUCAGCCCCGGCUGAUUCCUCAGCGCCCGCUGGCAGAGGCCCUGCUCUGUGAGUAAGCGUGGAGUCAUUCCGAUACUUGUUUAGAACAGGCACGUACAUAUAAAACGCUGAAAUCAGUGUUUUAGAACGUGUAAGAGAAAUAUCCCAAAUAGCGUUUUCUGAAUCCCGCCGUGGUGUAAACGCGGCAGCGGAGCCUGCGGAGCCUGCAGGCCACGGGGCUCCGUCGGAGGGAAAGUGGAUGUGUGCUGUCUGGCCUGCUGCAUAAUGAAGGAGGCCGACUCCAUGCGUCACGCCGAGCGUGCUCCCACUGACGGCAGCGCCGCUCUUAAAUGGGUUCUGGGUUUUAAUAGGUUUUAAAGGUUCAUUUGUACACGGAGGAACUGCACAGGGGGAAAAAAACGAGGGCGACAACGUUAUGGAAAGUUCGUUUGGCUUUUAGUGUCCGUACGUCUUCAUGAAUGUUUGCCAGUAGCUUGUGAAAUAAUACGUCAAAGCUGCUGUCGCCAUAAACGAUGCUGUGAGUGAGUAGAAUAAAAAAGAGGGAGGGAUCCAAAGACAAA
Long non-coding RNA from Betta splendens (Siamese fighting fish), 5947 nucleotides. RefSeq lists it as uncharacterized. The transcript is spliced from 4 exons. The record is from RefSeq and is a predicted model, not a curated record. Lineage: Eukaryota; Metazoa; Chordata; Actinopteri; Anabantiformes; Osphronemidae.